Long non-coding RNA from Oncorhynchus nerka (sockeye salmon), 1091 nucleotides. RefSeq lists it as uncharacterized. The record is from RefSeq and is a predicted model, not a curated record. The transcript has 3 exons. Lineage: Eukaryota; Metazoa; Chordata; Actinopteri; Salmoniformes; Salmonidae.
UCAGGACUACCUGACAUGAUGACUCCUUGCUGUCCCCAGUCCACCUGGCCGUGCUGCUGCUCCAGUUUCAACUGUUCUGCCUUAUUAUUAUUGGACCAUGCUGGUCAUUUAUGAACAUUUGAACAUCUUGGCCAUGUUCUGUUAUAAUCUCCACCCGGCACAGCCAGAAGAAGACUGGCCACCCCACAUAGCCUGGUUCCUCUCUAGGUUUCUUCCUAGGUUUUGGCCUUUCUAGGGAGUUUUUCCUAGCCACCGUGCUUCUACACCUGCAUUGCUUGCUGUUUGGGGUUUUAGGCUGGGUUUCUGUACAGCACUUUGAGAUAUCAGCUGAUGUACGAAGGGCUAUAUAAAUAAAUUUGAUUUGAUUUGAUAGACCUGUUUUUACCCACCAAUCAACACACAAAGAAAUAAACAAAACAUUAUAAUUUAAUAGAGAUAUUGGUGAUUUUAUAAACUAAAUCUGAUCAAAAUUAUAUUUUGUCAAUGAAAUGAAUGAAUGUAUUGUGUACUAAUCAAAUAUAUUAAACAUGUCGUUAAAUUUGUAGUGUAGACCUUUUCACUGUGCAAAUAUUAUAUGUUAAUUAUGUUCUGACCCACCGACUUUAACUCAGAAAACAAUUGUCCCGAAGCCAAACCUAGUUGACGAACCCUGUUUUAUAGUAUUCCAUGGCCUUUACUGGCCAACUGCUGUUAUGGUUAUGAUAUAAUAUGGUGUUGUGUCACUAGACUUUGACCAGAUAUUAUUACAUCCAAAGAUCAACUGAACCUAGAACAUAGAUACAGAGACACUUGUCAUCAGGAAGGAUCUCUCUCAGCACAACGGAAAAUAUCUCAAUGACUUGACAUGUUCUGCUUGUGAAUUCAGGCUACAAGGGGUCAGUUCUCUAAAAUGAGUCUCUCAGGAGCGAGAAAGAAGGGGGGGCCUGCCUCUAAAAUGAGUCUCUCUGGAGCAAGAGAGGAGGGGGGGCCUGCCUCUAAAAUGAGACUCUCUGGGGAACAUGACACCAAAGUUAAGAGACCAAUCAAGCAGGAGAGACCAGCCUCCCCUGUUCCCAGCUGUGUGUCCAUGAAGAGUGACCGGUCUAUGGAAC